RNAcentral lists this ribosomal RNA (253 nucleotides) under uncultured Lachnospiraceae bacterium. RNAcentral's name for it is "partial 16S ribosomal RNA". It matches the Rfam family "Bacterial small subunit ribosomal RNA", at positions 524 to 776 of the family's 1533-position model. Lineage: Bacteria; Bacillati; Bacillota; Clostridia; Lachnospirales; Lachnospiraceae. The record is from RNAcentral.
UACGUAGGGGGCAAGCGUUAUCCGGAUUUACUGGGUGUAAAGGGAGCGCAGGCGGCGCGGCAAGUCUGAUGUGAAAGCCCGGGGCUCAACCCCGGGACUGCAUUGGAAACUGUCGCGCUAGAGUGUCGGAGAGGUAAGUGGAAUUCCUAGUGUAGCGGUGAAAUGCGUAGAUAUUAGGAGGAACACCAGUGGCGAAGGCGACUUUCUGGACCGUAACUGACGUUGAGGCACGAAAGUGUGGGGAGCAAACAGG